GACGAACGCUGGCGGCGUGCCUAACACAUGCAAGUCGAACGGAGAACUUAAGGAUAGAGACUUCGGUCAAUUGAGAUUUGUUCUUAGUGGCGGACGGGCGAGUAACGCGUGAGUAACCUGCCUUUCAGAGGGGGACAACAGUUGGAAACGACUGCUAAUACCGCAUAACGUCAUUUGGGGGCAUCCCCGAGUGACCAAAGAUUUAUCGCUGAAAGAUGGACUCGCGUCCGAUUAGCUAGAUGGUGGGGUAACGGCCUACCAUGGCGACGAUCGGUAGCCGAACUGAGAGGUUGAUCGGCCGCAUUGGGACUGAGACACGGCCCAGACUCCUACGGGAGCAGCAGUCGGGAAUAUUGCGCAAUGGAGGAAACUCUGACGCAGUGACGCCGCGUGCAGGAAGAAGGUUUUCGGAUUGUAAACUGCUUUAGACAGGGAAGAACAAAUGACGGUACCUGGAGAAAAAGCAACGGCUAACUACGUG
Molecule: ribosomal RNA, 481 nt
Filed under: uncultured bacterium
Lineage: Bacteria
Description: bacterial SSU rRNA
Rfam family: Bacterial small subunit ribosomal RNA
Source: RNAcentral